CUAUUGGUACCUUACUAAUGAUGGGAUUGAGUUUCUAAGGACUUACCUCAAUCUCCCAUCCGACAUUGUGCCUUCGACUCUAAAGAAGGCUGCCAGGCCUAUCGGACGUCCCAUGGGUGGCCCUCCUGGCGAUCGCCCACGGUAUAUUCAGUUGAUUGUCCUAAUCAGGUUUAGGAUAAAAGAUACUUUGAUUUGAUUUGAAUUGAAUUGAUUGGUUAUGUUUAAUUUGCAGUGGCCCGUCGAGGUUUGAUGGGGACAGACCUAGGUUUGGUGACAGGGAUGGGUAUAGAGGUGGACCGAGAGGUCCUGCUGGAGAAUUUGGUGGUGAGAAAGGAGGAGCUCCAGCUGAUUACCAGCCUGCAUUUAGGGUAAUUCUGAUUUGCUGUAGACAUUGUCUUUGUUCAAUUGAUAACUUUUUUAGGCCACUGUUUCUUGUGUCUGAUCUAAGUUUUGUUGCAAUUCACUGCUUUAGGUUGAAAUGUACACUGAAUUUGUGGAACUAAUAGUAUAGCUGAACUUUUCCUGACUUUAGUUUAAUAUGUGGAAUAGCGUAGGUUAAAAAUAUUGUUGCUUUAUCAUAAUUGAUGACUAUAUCCUAUUUAAUUAUUCCCUUAAACUAUAAUAAGUCUCUUAUGAUUGAUGUUUGUCUGUAGUUGUUGACACAUAAAACUGAAUUCAGAAAAUAAUAGUUUGUACAUAUGUGUUAUACAUAGUCAAAAGCCAGGUACUAAUUCUGUAUUUUUACAUAAUUACACUGUUAAUAUAUGAAUGAUAGAUACAGUGGUUAUUUAUCCGAAUGAAGUAAUCCUAUUUGUACCCUGACUCUAAUGAUCCUAUUAAAUCAUAUAAUCUGUCAGAUUGUGAUCUUGAAAUUAUUCUGCAUUUAGAUGACUACAUAUUUAUAAACUAUAUUUACCUGUAUUUUCACCACUGAUACAUUAUAUAUUCAUUCUUGUGUACCAACUUUCUUUAGUAAUUAGGCCUUUGAAUUAGCCAAAUGUUUAGUCAUUGCUUUUGAACAUGCA
Molecule: long non-coding RNA, 1025 nt
Filed under: Daucus carota (carrot)
Lineage: Eukaryota; Viridiplantae; Streptophyta; Magnoliopsida; Apiales; Apiaceae
Description: long non-coding RNA (DCAR_LNC004590)
Source: RNAcentral